RNAcentral lists this ribosomal RNA (253 nucleotides) under uncultured bacterium. Its description in RNAcentral is "partial 16S ribosomal RNA". It matches the Rfam family "Bacterial small subunit ribosomal RNA", at positions 524 to 776 of the family's 1533-position model. The record is from RNAcentral.
UACGUAGGGGGCAAGCGUUAUCCGGAUUUACUGGGUGUAAAGGGAGCGUAGACGGCUUUGCAAGCCAGAUGUGAAAGCCCGGGGCUCAACCCCGGGACUGCAUUUGGAACUGUGUGGCUAGAGUGUCGGAGAGGCAGGCGGAAUUCCUAGUGUAGCGGUGAAAUGCGUAGAUAUUAGGAGGAACACCAGUGGCGAAGGCGGUCUGCUAGACAGCAACUGACGCUGAGGCGCGAAAGCGUGGGGAGCAAACAGG